CGGACGGGUGAGUAACACGUGGGCAACCUGCCCUGUAGAUUGGGAUAACUCCGGGAAACCGGGGCUAAUACCGAAUAAUCCAUUUCCUCACAUGGGGAGAUGUUAAAAGACGGCAUCUCGCUGUCACUACAGGAUGGGCCCGCGGCGCAUUAGCUAGUUGGUGAGGUAACGGCUCACCAAGGCGACGAUGCGUAGCCGACCUGAGAGGGUGAUCGGCCACACUGGGACUGAGACACGGCCCAGACUCCUACGGGAGGCAGCAGUAGGGAAUCUUCCACAAUGGACGAAAGUCUGAUGGAGCAAUGCCGCGUGAGUGAAGAAGGUUUUCGGAUCGUAAAACUCUGUUGUGAGGGAAGAACAAGUACGAGAGUAACUGCUCGUACCUUGACGGUACCUCAUUAGAAAGCCACGGCUAACUACGUGCCAGCAGCCGCGGUAAUACGUAGGUGGCAAGCGUUGUCCGGAAUUAUUGGGCGUAAAGCGCGCGCAGGCGGUCCUUUAAGUCUGAUGUGAAAUCCCACGGCUCAACCGUGGAAGGUCAUUGGAAACUGGGGGACUUGAGUACAGAAGAGGAAAGCGGAAUUCCAAGUGUAGCGGUUG
Molecule: ribosomal RNA, 600 nt
Filed under: Psychrobacillus psychrodurans
Lineage: Bacteria; Bacillati; Bacillota; Bacilli; Caryophanales; Bacillaceae
Description: bacterial SSU rRNA
Rfam family: Bacterial small subunit ribosomal RNA
Source: RNAcentral